Molecule: ribosomal RNA, 392 nt
Filed under: uncultured bacterium
Lineage: Bacteria
Description: bacterial SSU rRNA
Rfam family: Bacterial small subunit ribosomal RNA
Source: RNAcentral
GACGAACGCUGGCGGCGUGCUUAACACAUGCAAGUCGAGCGGUAAGGCCCUUUCGGGGUACGACGAGCGGCGAACGGGUGAGUAACACGUGGGUGACCUGCCCUCCAGCUCUGGGAGUAAGCCUGGGAAACCGGGGUACUAAUACCGGAUAUGACUCCAUGACGCAUGUUGUGGGGUGGAAAGCCUUGUGCGGCUGAGGAUGGGCCCGCGGCCUAUCAGCUUGUUGGUGGGGUGAUGGCCUACCAAGGCGACGACGGGUAGCCGGCCUGAGAGGGCGACCGGCCACACUGGGACUGAGACACGGCCCAGACUCCUACGGGAGGCAGCAGUGGGGAAUCUUGCGCAAUGGGCGAAAGCCUGACGCAGCGACGCCGCGUGAGGGAUGACGGCCU